RNAcentral lists this ribosomal RNA (222 nucleotides) under uncultured bacterium. RNAcentral describes it as "partial 16S ribosomal RNA". It matches the Rfam family "Bacterial small subunit ribosomal RNA", at positions 524 to 746 of the family's 1533-position model. The record is from RNAcentral.
UACGGGGGGGCAAGCGUUGUUCGGAAUUACUGGGCGUAAAGGGCGCGUAGGCGGUCUGUUAAGUCGGAUGUGAAAACUCUGGGCUCAACCCAGAGCCUGCAUCCGAAACUGGCAGGCUAGAGUUCUGGAGGGGGUAGCGGAAUUCCUGGUGUAGCGGUGAAAUGCGUAGAUAUGCGGAGGAACACCGAUGGCGAAGGCAAUCCCCUGGACCUGUACUGACGC